This 1388-nucleotide ribosomal RNA is filed under the name uncultured bacterium. Its description in RNAcentral is "bacterial SSU rRNA". It matches the Rfam family "Bacterial small subunit ribosomal RNA". The record is from RNAcentral.
GAAUUCGCCCUUAGAGUUUGAUCCUGGCUCAGGACGAACGCUGGCGGCGUGCCUAACACAUGCAAGUCGAGCGAGUGGAGUUCUUCGGAACAAAGCUAGCGGCGGACGGGUGAGUAACACGUGGGCAACCUGCCUCAUAGAGGGGAAUAGCCUUCCGAAAGGGAGAUUAAUACCGCAUAAGAUUGUAGCUUCGCAUGAAGUAGCAAUUAAAGGAGCAAUCCGCUAUGAGAUGGGCCCGCGGCGCAUUAGCUAGUUGGUGAGGUAACGGCUCACCAAGGCGACGAUGCGUAGCCGACCUGAGAGGGUGAUCGGCCACAUUGGGACUGAGACACGGCCCAGACUCCUACGGGAGGCAGCAGUGGGGAAUAUUGCACAAUGGGGGAAACCCUGAUGCAGCAACGCCGCGUGAGUGAUGACGGCCUUCGGGUUGUAAAGCUCUGUCUUCAGGGACGAUGAUGACGGUACCUGAGGAGGAAGCCACGGCUAACUACGUGCCAGCAGCCGCGGUAAUACGUAGGUGGCGAGCGUUGUCCGGAUUUACUGGGCGUAAAGGGAGCGUAGGCGGACUUUUAAGUGAGAUGUGAAAUACCUGGGCUCAACUUGGGUGCUGCAUUUCAAACUGGAAGUCUAGAGUGCAGGAGAGGAGAAUGGAAUUCCUAGUGUAGCGGUGAAAUGCCGUAGAGAUUAGGAAAGAACACCAGUGGCGAAUGCGAUUCCUCUGGACUGUAACUGACGCUGAGGCUCGAAAGCGUGGGGAGCAAACAGGAUUAGAUACCCCGGUAGUCCACGCCGUAAACGAUGAGUGCUAGGUGUUAGGCCCUUUCCGGGGCUUAGUGCCGCAGCUAACGCAUUAAGCACUCCGCCUGGGGAGUACGGCCGCAAGGUUGAAACUCAAAGGAAUUGACGGGGGCCCGCACAAGCGGUGGAGCAUGUGGUUUAAUUUGAAGCAACGCGAAGAACCUUACCAGGUCUUGACAUCCCAGUGCCCGCUCUAGAGAUAGAGUUUUUCUUUGGAACACUGGUGACAGGUGGUGCAUGGUUGUUGUCAGCUCGUGUCGUGAGAUGUUGGGUUAAGUCCCGCGACGAGCGCAACCCUUAUUGUUAGUUGCCAUCCUUCAGUUGGGCCCUCUAGCGAGACUGCCGGUAAUAAACCGGAGGAAGGUGGGGAUGACGUCAAAUCAUCAUGCCCCUUAUGACCUGGGCUACUCACGUGCUACAAUGGUUGGUACAACGAGUCGCAAGUCGGUGACGGCAAGCAAAUCUUUUAAAGCCAAUCUCAGUUCGGAUUGUAGGCUGCAACUCGCCUACAUGAAGUCGGAAUCGCUAGUAAUCGCGGAUCAGCACGCCGCGGUGAAUACGUUCCCGGGCCUUGCACACACCGCCCGUCA